CGCGGCCUAUCAGCUUGUUGGUGAGGUAACGGCACACCAAGGCAUCGACGGGUAGCUGGUCUGAGAGGACGAUCAGCCACACUGGGACUGAGACACGGCCCAGACUCCUACGGGAGGCAGCAGUGGGGAAUCUUGCACAAUGGGCGAAAGCCUGAUGCAGCGACGCCGCGUGGGGGAUGAAGGCCCUAGGGUCGUAAACCCCUUUCAGUAGGGACGAAAAUGACGGUACCUACAGAAGAAGCUCCGGCCAACUACGUGCCAGCAGCCGCGGUAAGACGUAGGGGGCGAGCGUUGUCCGGAAUCAUUGGGCGUAAAGAGCUCGUAGGCGGUUCCGUAAGUCGGAUGUGAAAACUCAGGGCUCAACUCUGAGACGCCAUCCAAUACUGCGGUGACUUGAAUCCAGUAGGGGAGUGUGGAAUUCCUGGUGUAGCGGUGAAAUGCGCAGAUAUCAGGAGGAACACCUAUGGCGAAGGCAGCACUCUGGGCUGGUAUUGACGCUGAGGAGCGAAAGCAUGGGUAGCAAACAGGAUUAGAUACCCUGGUAGUCCAUGCCGUAAACGGUGGGCACUAGGUGUGGGGACUUUCAACGGUUUCCGUGCCGAAGCUAACGCAUUAAGUGCCCCGCCUGGGGAGUACGG
RNAcentral lists this ribosomal RNA (638 nucleotides) under uncultured bacterium. Its description in RNAcentral is "bacterial SSU rRNA". It matches the Rfam family "Bacterial small subunit ribosomal RNA", at positions 232 to 885 of the family's 1533-position model. The record is from RNAcentral.